Molecule: long non-coding RNA, 2155 nt
Organism: Mytilus californianus (California mussel)
Lineage: Eukaryota; Metazoa; Mollusca; Bivalvia; Mytilida; Mytilidae
Exons: 2
Source: RefSeq, a predicted model, not a curated record
AAAAUAAAACACACUUUUUAUUCUAGAUACCCUAAGAAUCAUUCAGCUUAAGUUUGGUUGGAAUUGGUGCAGUGGUUUCAGAGGAGAAUAUUUUUUAAAGUUAGAAAACAUGAUAAACAAAUUGUGUAAAAUAGUCCUUAAAGGGCAAUAACUCUUUAAGGGGUCAAUUGACAAUUUUGGUCAUAUCAAACUUAUUUGUAGAUCUUACUUUGCUGAACAUAUUUGCUGUUUACUGUUUAUCUUUAUCAUUAAUACUAUUCAAGAUAAUAACCAAUAAAAUGCUUCGCUGGGGCGCAGCUUGAUACGACCGCAGAGGUCGAACCCUGAACAGUUGGGGCAAGUAUGGACACAACAUUCAAGCUUGAUACAGAUCUAAAUUUAGAUUGUUAUUAAAUAUUUGACACUGCAUAGGUUUCUGACACAGAAAGAAUGUGGUCUAAGAACUUGAAUUUUUUUAAUUUACCUAUUAUGGUCCAAUGUCCAAAAUCAAAAUACAUGGUUAGAUUCAGCAUAUCAAAGAACCCCAUAUAUUCAAUUUUUGUUAAAAUCAAACAAAGUUUAAUUUUGGACCCCAACUUGGACAAACUUGAAAACUGGGCCCAUAAUCAAAAAUCUAAACACAUGUUUAGAUUCAGCAUAUCAAAGAACCCCAAGAUUUCAAUUUUUGCUUAAAUCAAACUAAGUUUAAUUUUGGACCCUUUGGACCUUAAUGUAGACCAAUUUAAAAAACGGGACUUAAAAUUAAAAAUCUAAAUACACGGUUAGAUUUGGAAUAUCAAAGAACCCCAAUAAUUCAAUUUUUGAUGAAAUCAAACAAAGUUUAAUUUUGGACCCUUUUGACCUCAAUAUGAACCAAUUUGAUAGCGGGGCCCACAAAUAAAAAAUCUAAAUUCAUGGGUUAGAUUCAGCAUAUCAAAGAACCCCAUAUAUUCAAUUUUUGUUGAAAUCAAAAAAAGUUUAAUUUUGGACCCCAACUUGGACCAACUUGAAAACUGGGCCCAUAAUCAAAAAUCUAAACACAUGUUUAGAUUCAGCAUAUCAAAGAACCCCAAGAAUUCAAUUUUUCUUAAAAUCAAACUAAGUUUAAUUUUGGACCCUUUGGACCUCAAUGAAGACCAAUUUAAAAAACGGGACCCAAAUUAAAAAUCUAAAAACACGGUUAGAUUUGGCAUAUCAAAGAACCCCAAUAAUUCAAUUUUCGAUGAAAUCAAACAAAGUUUAAUUUUGGACCCUUUUGACCUCAAUAUGAACCAAUUUGAUAGCGGGGCCUACAAAUAAAAAAUCUAAAUACAUGGUUAGAUUCAGCAUAUCAAAGAACCUCAUAUAUUCAAUUUUUGUUGAAAUCAAACAAAGUUUAAUUUUGGACCCCAAUUUGGACCAACUUGAAAACUGGGCCCAUAAUCAAAAAUCUAAAUACAUGUUUAGAUUCAGCAUAUCAAAGAACCCCAUAUAUUCAAUUUUUGUUGAAAUCAAACAAAGUUUAAAUACUGGACCCUAUCUUGGACCAACUUGAAAACUGGGCCCAUAAUCAAAAAACAUGUUUAGAUUCAGCAAAUCAAAGAACCCCAAGAAUUCAAUUUUUGUUAAAUCAAACUAAGUUUAAUUUUGGACCCUUUGGACCUUAAUGUAGACCAAUUUAAAAAACAGGACCCAAAAUUAAAAACCUAAAUACACGGUUAGAUUUGGAAUAUCAAAGUACCCCAAUAAUUCAAUUUUAGAUGAAAUCAAACAAAGUUUAAUUUUGGACCCUUUUGACCUCAAUAUGAACCAAUUAGAUAACGGGGUCCACAAAUAAAAAAUCUAAAUACAUGGUUAGAUUCAGCAUAUCAAAGAACCCCAUAUAUUCAAUUUUUGUUGAAAUCAAACAAAGUUUAAUUUUGGACCCCAAUUUGGACCAACUUGAAAACUGGGCCAAAAAUCAAAAAUCUAAAUACAUGUUUAGAUUCAGCAUAUCAAAGAACCUCAUAUAUUCAAUUUUUACUAAAAUCAAACAAAGUUUAAUUUUGGACCCUUUGGACAUUAAUGUAGACCAAUUUGAAAACUGGACCCAAAAUUAAAAAUCUAAAUACACUGUUAGAUUCGGCAUAACAAAUAAAUAAAUGUGAUCAAAGAUUUUACAAAUCUAAUGCGCCAUACUGUGCAAUUAAAGAUUACU